AUCGGUUUGGUGUUGAUAACAUGUUAGCUUUUCGUGCUAGAGAUGGCUUUAUAUAUAAGUCAAUCGGUA
RNAcentral lists this transfer RNA (69 nucleotides) under Echinochasmus japonicus. Its description in RNAcentral is "tRNA-Glu". The record is from RNAcentral. Lineage: Eukaryota; Metazoa; Platyhelminthes; Trematoda; Plagiorchiida; Echinochasmidae.